RNAcentral lists this ribosomal RNA (459 nucleotides) under uncultured bacterium. RNAcentral describes it as "partial 16S ribosomal RNA". It matches the Rfam family "Bacterial small subunit ribosomal RNA", at positions 338 to 795 of the family's 1533-position model. The record is from RNAcentral.
CCUACGGGAGGCAGCAGUGAGGAAUAUUGGUCAAUGGGCGCGAGCCUGAACCAGCCAAGUAGCGUGAAGGAUGACUGCCCUACGGGUUGUAAACUUCUUUUAUAAAGGAAUAAAGUGAGGCACGUGUGCCUUUUUGUAUGUACUUUAUGAAUAAGGAUCGGCUAACUCCGUUCCAGCAGCCGCGGUAAUACGGAGUAUGCGAGCGUUAUCCGGAUUUAUUGGGUUAAAAGGGUGCGUAGGCGGAUCGUUAAGUCAGUGGUAAAAUUGAGGGGCUCAACCCCUUCCCGCCAUUGAAACUGGCGGUCUUGAGUGGAAGAGAAGUAUGCGGAAUGCGUGGUGUAGCGGUGAAAUGCAUAGAUAUCACGCAGAACCCCGAUUGCGAAGACAGCAUGCCGGCUUCCGACUGACGCUGAAGCACGAAAGCGUGGGGAUCGAACAGGAUUAGAUACCCUUGUAGUC